Molecule: ribosomal RNA, 441 nt
Filed under: uncultured bacterium
Lineage: Bacteria
Description: partial 16S ribosomal RNA
Rfam family: Bacterial small subunit ribosomal RNA
Source: RNAcentral
CCUACGGGAGGCAGCAGUGGGGGAUAUUGCACAAUGGGGGAAACUCUGAUGCAGCGACGCCGCGUGAGUGAAGAAGUAUUUCGGUAUGUAAAGCUCUAUUAGUAGGGAAGAAAAAAGACGUUAGCUGAUUAAGAUGCCCCGGCUAACUACGUGCCAGCAGCCGCGGUAAUACGGAUGCUGCAAGCGUUAUCCGGAUUUACUGGGUGUAAAGGGAGCGCAGGCGGCACGGCAAGACUGAUGUGAAAGCCCGCGGCUCAACCGCGGAGCGGCAUGGGAAACUGCCGGGCUUGAGUGCAGGAGAGGUAGGCGGAAUUCCUAGUGUAGCGGUGAAAUGCGUAGAUAUUAGGAGGAACACCAGUGGCGAAGGCGGCCUACUGGACGGUGACUGACGCUGAGGCUCGAAAGCGUGGGGAGCAAACAGGAUUAGAUACCCGAGUAGUC